Molecule: unclassified non-coding RNA, 223 nt
Filed under: plant metagenome
Description: partial contains small subunit ribosomal RNA, internal transcribed spacer 1, and 5.8S ribosomal RNA
Rfam family: Eukaryotic small subunit ribosomal RNA (bases 1-54)
Source: RNAcentral
GGAAGUAAAAGUCGUAACAAGAUCUCCGUUGGUGAACCAGCGGAGGGAUCAUUAUCGAGUUUAUAACUCCCAAACCCUAUGUGAACUUACCACUUGUUGCUUCGGCGCGCGCUUCGGCGCCGCCGAGGACACUUAAACUCUUUGUUUUUAUAAGCAUUUCUGAGUGGCCGAAAGGCAAAAUACAAAUGAAUCAAAACUUUCAACAACGGAUCUCUUGGUUCUG